AGAGUUUGAUUCUGGCUCAGGACGAACGCUGGCGGCGUGCCUAACACAUGCAAGUCGAACGAAGCUUGAAUUCAGAUUUCUUCGGAAUGAAGAAUGAUAUGACUGAGUGGCGGACGGGUGAGUAACGCGUGAGCAACCUGCCCUUCGGAGGGGGAUAGUGUCUGGAAACGGACAGUAAUACCGCAUAACGUAUUUUUACCGCAUGAUAGAAAUACCAAAACUGAGGUGCCGAAGGAUGGGCUCGCGUUGGAUUAGAUAGUUGGUGGGGUAACGGCCUACCAAGUCAACGAUCCAUAGCCGGACUGAGAGGUUGAACGGCCACAUUGGGACUGAGACACGGCCCAGACUCCUACGGGAGGCAGCAGUGGGGAAUAUUGCACAAUGGGGGAAACCCUGAUGCAGCAACGCCGCGUGAAGGAAGACGGUUUUCGGAUUGUAAACUUCUGUUCUUAGUGAAGAAAAAUGACGGUAGCUAAGGAGCAAGCCACGGCUAACUACGUGCCAGCAGCCGCGGUAAUACGUAGGUGGCAAGCGUUGUCCGGAAUUACUGGGUGUAAAGGGAGCGCAGGCGGGAAGCCAAGUCAGCUGUGAAAACUACGGGCUUAACUUGUAGACUGCAGUUGAAACUGGUUUUCUUGAGUGA
Molecule: ribosomal RNA, 643 nt
Filed under: uncultured bacterium
Lineage: Bacteria
Description: bacterial SSU rRNA
Rfam family: Bacterial small subunit ribosomal RNA
Source: RNAcentral